GGGCCCGUGGUGUAGCGGAAACACGCCGCCCUUGCAAGGCGGAGAGCGAGGGUUCGAAAAUAAAUUUAUUAGAAAUUCCCUCCGGGUCCACCA
Molecule: transfer RNA, 93 nt
Filed under: Nanobdellota archaeon
Lineage: Archaea; Nanobdellati; Nanobdellota
Description: tRNA-Ala
Rfam family: tRNA
About the family: Transfer RNA (tRNA) molecules are approximately 80 nucleotides in length. Their secondary structure includes four short double-helical elements and three loops (D, anti-codon, and T loops).
Source: RNAcentral